Ylistrum balloti is the source of this 69-nucleotide non-coding RNA. NCBI's taxonomy places the organism in Eukaryota, Metazoa, Mollusca, Bivalvia, Pectinida, Pectinidae. The record is from the annotation of a RefSeq genome assembly.
GGCGGGUUGGCAGAUCAUGUGUCCGAUUUAGGAUCGGAAGAGGGGGCCCUGCUGAGGUCUCACCCGUUU